GCGAACGCUGGCGGCAGGCCUAACACAUGCAAGUCGCACGAACCUUUCGGGGUUAGUGGCGGACGGGUGAGUAACACGUGGGAACGUGCCUUUAGGUUCGGAAUAACUCAGGGAAACUUGUGCUAAUACCGAAUGUGCCCUUCGGGGGAAAGAUUUAUCGCCUUUAGAGCGGCCCGCGUCUGAUUAGCUAGUUGGUUGAGGUAAUGGCUCACCAAGGCGACGAUCAGUAGCUGGUCUGAGAGGAUGAUCAGCCACAUUGGGACUGAGACACGGCCCAAACUCCUACGGGAGGCAGCAGUGGGGAAUCUUGCGCAAUGGGCGAAAGACUGACGCAGCCAUGCCGCGUGAAUGAUGAAGGUCUUAGGAUUGUAAAAUUCUUUCACCGGGGACGAUAAUGACGGUACCCGGAGAAGAAGCCCCGGCUAACUUCGUG
RNAcentral lists this ribosomal RNA (433 nucleotides) under uncultured bacterium. RNAcentral's name for it is "partial 16S ribosomal RNA". It matches the Rfam family "Bacterial small subunit ribosomal RNA", at positions 29 to 507 of the family's 1533-position model. The record is from RNAcentral.